GACGAACGCUGGCGGCGUGCUUAACACAUGCAAGUCGAACGGAAAGGCCCCCUUGUGGGGUACUCGAGUGGCGAACGGGUGAGUAACACGUGAGUAACCUACCCUUGACUUUGGGAUAACUUCAGGAAACUGGGGCUAAUACCGGAUAGGAGCUCCUGCUGCAUGGUGGGGGUUGGAAAGUUUCGGCGGUUGGGGAUGGACUCGCGGCUUAUCAGCUUGUUGGUGGGGUAGUGGCUCACCAAGGCUUUGACGGGUAGCCGGCCUGAGAGGGUGACCGGCCAACUUGGGAAUGAGAUACGGCCCAGAAUCCCACGGGGGGGAGCAGGGGGGAAUAUUGAACAAUGGGCGGAAGCCUGAUGCAGCAACGCCGGCGGCGGGGAGACGGCCUUCGGGUUUGAAACCCCUUUUGCCUUUGACGAAGGGGGGGGGGAGGUAAUGGGUAAAGAAGCACCGGCUAACUACGG
Molecule: ribosomal RNA, 464 nt
Filed under: uncultured bacterium
Lineage: Bacteria
Description: partial 16S ribosomal RNA
Rfam family: Bacterial small subunit ribosomal RNA
Source: RNAcentral